AUGGCCGCGCCAUGGCGCGUGCCGGCCAUCCCCCGGUCCCCUUGGAGUAUAAGGCCGAGCCCUCCGACCCACCUGACGAACCCUAGCCUCAAAAUCCCCUCUCCCUCGCUCGUUUUCCUCUCCUCGCAACACAACCGAGCGCAACGUCGCCGCCAUCGCGUCGAUCCCGCGGCCACGUGCCUCCCCGCGCCGAACCACCAUGUCCAGGAAGCGCGCCGUCAUCACCUUCGUCGACUACACCAACAGAUCGGGGCGUAG
RNAcentral lists this ribosomal RNA (258 nucleotides) under Triticum aestivum (bread wheat). RNAcentral's name for it is "partial small subunit ribosomal RNA". Lineage: Eukaryota; Viridiplantae; Streptophyta; Magnoliopsida; Poales; Poaceae. The record is from RNAcentral.